UCUGUAAAAAGGCAAACAAAUCGUGAGGUUUGGACGCAAAGUUACCAAUCUGUAUUUUUAUUACAGAUAGUGGAACUGCCAAA
RNAcentral lists this non-coding RNA (83 nucleotides) under Moritella yayanosii. Its description in RNAcentral is "c-di-GMP-I". It matches the Rfam family "c-di-GMP-I riboswitch aptamer". Rfam says of the family: GEMM was predicted in a large-scale screen for bacterial structured RNA regulatory elements. Lineage: Bacteria; Pseudomonadati; Pseudomonadota; Gammaproteobacteria; Alteromonadales; Moritellaceae. The record is from RNAcentral.